ACAGAACUGUCUUGGAAAGCCCUGGUCCUCCCAGGCCUCCUAAGAGAAUAGCGAAGAACCCCUCCCAGAACCUUCCUAUAAGGUCUCCCCGCUGACUUCCUGUAGCGGAUGUGACUGUGUGCCAGGUGCCUGCCGAAGACCCCUGUCACUGACUGUGCCCUUUGGGAAAGAGUCAACAAUGGCCUCCUCCUAUGGCUGACUUCGUUCAUGUUCAGGCUCUCCAGCUUGCUAGUGAGAAUUGCCAAGGAGUGGUUCAUGGCAGGAUAGAACUAAACUGAUAGAUGAAAGUUCCACAGUGCUUCAAGACAGGCUCCCGUUCAUGUUUAGCAGUUUUCCUUCCUUCAAAAUAAAAAACUAGCCGUCCUUA
Molecule: small RNA, 367 nt
Filed under: Pongo abelii (Sumatran orangutan)
Lineage: Eukaryota; Metazoa; Chordata; Mammalia; Primates; Hominidae
Description: sense intronic
Source: RNAcentral